RNAcentral lists this ribosomal RNA (477 nucleotides) under Candidatus Scalindua brodae. Its description in RNAcentral is "bacterial SSU rRNA". It matches the Rfam family "Bacterial small subunit ribosomal RNA", at positions 365 to 832 of the family's 1533-position model. The record is from RNAcentral. Lineage: Bacteria; Pseudomonadati; Planctomycetota; Candidatus Brocadiia; Candidatus Brocadiales; Candidatus Scalinduaceae.
UUCGCAAUGCCCGAAAGGGUGACGAAGCGACGCCGCGUGGGUGAGGAAGGCCUUCGGGUUGUAAAGCCCUGUCAGGAGUUAAGAAAUGUAAGUGCGCUAAUAUCGCAUUUAUUUGACGAAGGCUCCAAAGGAAGCCACGGCUAACUCUGUGCCAGCAGCCGCGGUAAUACAGAGGUGGCAAGCGUUGUUCGGAAUUAUUGGGCGUAAAGAGCACGUAGGUGGAUUUGUAAGUCAGAUGUGAAAGCCUUCUGUUCAACGGGAGAAUUGCAUCUGAAACUACAAACCUUGAGUAUAGGAGGGGAGAAUGGAACUUCUGGUGGAGCGGUGAAAUGUGUAGAUAUCAGAAGGAACGCCGGCGGCGAAAGCGAUUCUCUGGCCUAUUACUGACACUCAGUGUGCGAAAGCUAGGGGAGCAAACGGGAUUAGAUACCCCGGUAGUCCUAGCCGUAAACGAUGGGCACUAAGUAGAGGGGUUUU